UACAGAGGUCUCAAGCAUUGUUCGGAUUCAUUGGGCGUAAAGGGUGUGUAGGUGGCGCGCUAAGUCGGGUGUGAAAUUUCGGAGCUUAACUCCGAAACUGCAUUCGAUACUGGCGUGCUUGAGGACUGGAGAGGAGACUGGAAUUCAUGGUGUAGCAGUGAAAUGCGUAGAGAUCAUGAGGAAGACCAGUGGCGAAGGCGGGUCUCUGGACAGUUCCUGACACUGAGACACGAAGGCCAGGGGAGCAAACGGG
This 253-nucleotide ribosomal RNA is filed under the name uncultured bacterium. RNAcentral describes it as "partial 16S ribosomal RNA". It matches the Rfam family "Bacterial small subunit ribosomal RNA", at positions 524 to 776 of the family's 1533-position model. The record is from RNAcentral.